UUUUCGUACCACGGCGAGGCCGGAUUCCUGUUUUAUCAUGAAUAUUCAUUAGGCAGGGUCGGGGAAAGUCUCGAUUCUCUUAAAUAUUCAUAUCGAGGUGGGAAUGCACGACGCGCGCUAUACUCGCACAAAGUGAGAAGAUUUAGUUCACGGAGAAUGCAUAUGGAUUGAAACUGAAGAGCUGGAAGGAGGACAUUACAACAUCUCUUAUAUUUGCAAGAUGAAGCAGAAAGUCCCAUGCAGUGGAUGAUGAAGGCAUUCUGGUUUGCAAACUCAGGAGAGGAACAAAGAACAGAUGUUGACGGGAUCAUAUCUAGAGAUGCGGGCCUACUACACUUCAUACGAGCAAGUGUGCUAUUAUACAUGAAGGUACCCCCAAUAAAUUUUUGUGGAACAAAUGUCAUGGAGAAAAUUAUAGAUCUAAAACAGAUAUUUUUCAUUGUCAGUUGACUUGUAAAAGAAUAAUUGACUUAAUAUCACAAUUGUAAUUUAGAUUAAAAA
Molecule: long non-coding RNA, 501 nt
Organism: Strongylocentrotus purpuratus (purple sea urchin)
Lineage: Eukaryota; Metazoa; Echinodermata; Echinoidea; Camarodonta; Strongylocentrotidae
Exons: 3
Source: RefSeq, a predicted model, not a curated record